CCUAGAUGAUUUUAGUGCUUGCACUAAAUGAAACUAGAUACAAGCGAGCGGCGGACGGGUGAGUAACACGUGGGUAACCUGCCCAAGAGACUGGGAUAACACCUGGAAACAGAUGCUAAUACCGGAUAACAACACUAGACGCAUGUCUAGAGUUUGAAAGAUGGUUCUGCUAUCACUCUUGGAUGGACCUGCGGUGCAUUAGCUAGUUGGUAAGGUAAUGGCUUACCAAGGCGAUGAUGCAUAGCCGAGUUGAGAGACUGAUCGGCCACAUUGGGACUGAGACACGGCCCAAACUCCUACGGGAGGCAGCAGUAGGGAAUCUUCCACAAUGGACGAAAGUCUGAUGGAGCAACGCCGCGUGAGUGAAGAAGGGUUUCGGCUCGUAAAGCUCUGUUGGUAGUGAAGAAAGAUAGAGGUAGUAACUGGCCUUUAUUUGACGGUAAUUACUUAGAAAGUCACGGCUAACUACGUGCCAGCAGCCGCGGUAAUACGUAGGUGGCAAGCGUUGUCCGGAUUUAUUGGGCGUAAAGCGAGUGCAGGCGGUUCAAUAAGUCUGAUGUGAAAGCCUUCGGCUCAACCGGAGAAUUGCAUCAGAAACUGUUGAACUUGAGUGCAGAAGAGGAGAGUGGAACUCCAUGUGUAGCGGUGGAAUGCGUAGAUAUAUGGAAGAACACCAGUGGCGAAGGCGGCUCUCUGGUCUGCAACUGACGCUGAGGCUCGAAAG
This 724-nucleotide ribosomal RNA is filed under the name uncultured Bacilli bacterium. RNAcentral's name for it is "bacterial SSU rRNA". It matches the Rfam family "Bacterial small subunit ribosomal RNA", at positions 62 to 759 of the family's 1533-position model. The record is from RNAcentral. Lineage: Bacteria; Bacillati; Bacillota; Bacilli.